RNAcentral lists this ribosomal RNA (851 nucleotides) under uncultured Hyphomicrobiales bacterium. RNAcentral's name for it is "bacterial SSU rRNA". It matches the Rfam family "Bacterial small subunit ribosomal RNA", at positions 62 to 961 of the family's 1533-position model. The record is from RNAcentral. Lineage: Bacteria; Pseudomonadati; Pseudomonadota; Alphaproteobacteria; Hyphomicrobiales.
UCGACGGGCGCCUUCGGGCGUCAGUGGCAGACGGGUGAGUAACACGUGGGAACGUGCCUUUCGGUUCGGAACAACCCAGGGAAACUUGGGCUAAUACCGGAUACGCCCUUACGGGGAAAGAUUUAUCGCCGAAAGAUCGGCCCGCGUCUGAUUAGCUUGUUGGUGAGGUAAUGGCUCACCAAGGCGACGAUCAGUAGCUGGUCUGAGAGGAUGAUCAGCCACACUGGGACUGAGACACGGCCCAGACUCCUACGGGAGGCAGCAGUGGGGAAUAUUGGACAAUGGGCGAAAGCCUGAUCCAGCCAUGCCGCGUGAGUGAUGAAGGCCUUAGGGUUGUAAAGCUCUUUCGACGGGGACGAUAAUGACGGUACCCGUAGAAGAAGCCCCGGCUAACUUCGUGCCAGCAGCCGCGGUAAUACGAAGGGGGCUAGCGUUGCUCGGAAUCACUGGGCGUAAAGGGCGCGUAGGCGGACUCUUAAGUCAGAGGUGAAAGCCCAAGGCUCAACCUUGGAAUUGCCUUUGAUACUGGGAGUCUAGAGACCGGAAGAGGUAAGUGGAACUGCGAGUGUAGAGGUGAAAUUCGUAGAUAUUCGCAAGAACACCAGUGGCGAAGGCGGCUUACUGGUCCGGUUCUGACGCUGAGGCGCGAAAGCGUGGGGAGCAACAGGAUUAGAUACCCUGGUAGUCCACGCCGUAAACGAUGGAUGCUAGCCGUUGGCAGGCUUGCCUGUCAGUGGCGCAGCUAACGCUUUAAGCAUCCCGCCUGGGGAGUACGGUCGCAAGAUAAAAACUCAAAGGAAUUGACGGGGGCCCGCACAAGCGGUGGAGCAUGUGUUUAAUUCCGAGCAACG